This 2655-nucleotide long non-coding RNA is filed under the name Nicotiana benthamiana. RNAcentral's name for it is "long non-coding RNA (NBEN_LNC005736)". Lineage: Eukaryota; Viridiplantae; Streptophyta; Magnoliopsida; Solanales; Solanaceae. The record is from RNAcentral.
UUCUUCACAUUGUUCUUAACUGGAAUCGUUCUUCUAUUUUCUCUCAUAUUUGUUCGAAUCAAAUCACCUCAAAUCUGGCUCGAAAACAUCAGAAUCACAAACUAUAGUGAUGGCAAUAAUAUUAGUUUUUCUGCACAAGUUUUUGUGAGAAAUCCUAAUUAUUGGCGUUACGACUUUGAUAGCAGUUUAGCUACUAUUACUUCAGGGGGUGUGUCUAUUGGCCAAUUUAUUAUUCCUGAAUCAGAGGUACGACGUCAUUCGACGAAAAAAUUAUUUAUUAUUGCAAAUAUUGUCAUAAGAAAAGGAGUCAAUAAUACUAACGGGAUUUUGCCAGUGACUACCCUGGCUAAGAUAAGAGGGGAAUUGAAGAUCUUUAGGGUAUUUAGGAGGAAGAAAUCUGCAGAUUUGAGUUGUACUAUGGAUAUUAAUUUGACUAUAAGUGCCAUUCAAGAUCUUGAUUGCAAGUGAGAGUGAAAAAAGGAUUUUUGUGAAUUAUUACCAAAGUUUCCUUUUAACAUCUAUACUUUCUUUUGUUUCAGUAUAUUAAUAAUAUUUUUUUCUUUGAGGAAUUUGUUAAUAAAGUGCAGCUUAUUCUAAGUUGUAUUAUUGGUCAUCUAAUGAUCACCCCUAUAUAGAUAUAAUCCUUUUUUGAAAUUUAAAGAUUAUAACAUGUGUUUUUACAUGUUCUUAUUCUCUCUUCUUGAUUGAACAAUGAUCAAGUGAAACCACUGAAGAUUGACGAAUCUGCGGCGUGGUAUAUGUUGACUCAAACUGUUACGAACCAGACCCGGCCCAAUAUCAUACAAGCAGUUAUUGAAUGAAAGAAUUGCAUAGGGCGCCCUGUUUGGGCGCCCCUUUUUAACAUUUAGUCACUUUAUUUUUCUAAUUGUAUUCGUACCCAUUUUUUUGUUAAAAGCCAUUUGGAAAGAAUAUUUUGCCCUUCUUUAUUAAAAAACUACUUUCUUUCCAAGUAUACAGUAGUCCUCCACUGUCUCUGUCUCUCUCUCCCGUUAUUUGCGCUUUUUGAUUUGUUCUUCUCUGAAAUCAAACAGUUUUCGUUGUUGUUUCGAAUUUUCAAGUGCUAGUCAUCGUUGUUCCCACAUUACGAUUUAAUCACAGGUACAUUGCAUUAACUUUUCGGGUUCUUCUGGUUUUGGUUUUUAUAGUCAUGUAUUUAUGAUAGGGUUUAGUUUGAUAAGUUCAGUAGUUUUACUUUUACGUUUGUAUUUUUAGGUUUUUUGAACGAGUGUUUAUGUUAUUGAUGAAAAUUAUAUAAAUUCUUAUGUGUUAAGACGUUCAAAUUUUUAAAAAAUUUCAGAGUUAAACACAUGAUAAUGAUACCUUAGAUAGGAGUAGAAGUUUUUUUUUUUCUUCAUGUUUUCCAUUAUUUUUGGAUUUGAAUUUGUCUUUUUUUUGCUGAAUGUUUUGUGCUUGUAUGGAGAACCAUAAUUAAGUUUAUGUGUUUGUAACUCGUGAAUUCCAUCUUUAGGAACUGAAGUUUUUGUGUUUGUAACUGGUGAAGUCCAACUUUAGGAGAUAAAGUUUUUGUAUUUGUUACUGUUGAACUUCAGCUCUAGAGAUGAAGUUUUUAUUUUAUACCUGUCGAACUACAGUUAAAGAGUUGAAGUUUUUAUUUUGUAACUGUCAAACUUCAGCUCUAGAGCUGAAGUUUUUGUUUUAUACCUGUCGAACUUCAGCUCUAGACCUGAAGUUUUUGUUUUAUAUUUAUCGAACUUAAGCCUUCUUAGGUAUUGAAGUUUUAACUAAUAUUUUUGAUAAUGUCCUGAUGUUAUUAUUUGUAUCUUUUACCUUUUUUGGACAGAUGGCUCCUUAAGUACCUACAGAUCCUAAAGUAGCUAAAGAAGGUAAAGCACCUAUAAAACCUAGACUGCCUGUAGUAGCCCCAGGUCCGUACGUCCCUGAGCUUCUACCUACAAGACCAGGACAAAAUUAUUUUGAGUUUGAAGAUUGGUUUAACUCUAAGGGUUACUGGAAAGGGAACCAUGAAUUGAAGGGUUUUAUUGCAACUUUCUUGACUCCUGCACAAUAGGAUAAGCAUAAUAAUGGUACAUUUAAGCACAUUAUUGCUACGGAGAAUUUCAAAUGCAGCAUGAAGUUAGUUCAUUAUUUGUGUCUUUCUCGAAUAUUCACGAAUGAUCGAGACUCCAUUAGUUUCAAGAUUUUUGACUAUGAUGUUUCCUUCACCCUUGAAGACUUUCACAUUAUGUGUGAUUUACGAAUCACAUCACAUAAUGUUGAAAAACUAUUUUAUCGAGAGAGCAAUAUUCUGAAGCGCUAUUUUGGUAAGUCCAAGGGUGUGACUUUGAAGGAGGUUCGAAGUUUUAUGACUCGCAAUAAAAUUCCAAAGAAUAUUGUGAAUCAUGUACACGUAUGCGAGAGUGAUGAUGAUGCAAUUAAGCUUAUGGAAAUUCUUGUUGUAGAGACUAUUCUACAACAAUAACAACUACCCAGUGUAGUUCCACAGGGUGAUGUCUGGGGAGGGUAAUAUGUACGCAGGCCAUAGCCCCACCCAAAAGGGCAGAGAUGAUAUUUCCAAUAGACCCUCGGCUUAGGGAAAGGAAAGAAAAAAUAAAAACAAAAGAAAAUUAGUAACUCCAAUAGGAAUGAAUACACAAUUAUGUAAAUAUAGACCAU